GAGUUUGAUUCUGGCUCAGGAUGAACGCUGACAGAAUGCUUAACACAUGCAAGUCAACUUGAACGUGGGUUUUUAACUUAGGUUUGGGUGGCGGACGGGUGAGUAACGCGUAAGGAACUUGCCUCACAGAUAGGGACAACAUUUAGAAAUGAAUGCUAAUACCUAAUAUUAUGAAAAUAGGGCAUCCUAUAAUUAUGAAAGCUAAAUGCGCUGUGAGAGAGCUUUGCGUCCCAUUAGCUAGUUGGAGAGGUAACGGCUCACCAAGGCGAUGAUGGGUAGCCGGCCUGAGAGGGUGAACGGCCACAAGAGGACUGAGACACGGCCCUUACUCCUACGGGAGGCAGCAGUGGGGAAUAUUGGACAAUGGACCAAGAGUCUGAUCCAGCAAUUCUGUGUGCACGAUGAAGUUUUUCGGAAUGUAAAGUGCUUUCAGUUGGGAAGAAAAGAAUGACGGACCGACAGAAGAA
RNAcentral lists this ribosomal RNA (467 nucleotides) under Fusobacterium sp. canine oral taxon 169. RNAcentral describes it as "bacterial SSU rRNA". It matches the Rfam family "Bacterial small subunit ribosomal RNA", at positions 9 to 489 of the family's 1533-position model. The record is from RNAcentral. Lineage: Bacteria; Fusobacteriati; Fusobacteriota; Fusobacteriia; Fusobacteriales; Fusobacteriaceae.